Molecule: non-coding RNA, 568 nt
Organism: Paramuricea clavata
Lineage: Eukaryota; Metazoa; Cnidaria; Anthozoa; Malacalcyonacea; Plexauridae
Source: the annotation of a GenBank genome assembly
CGUCACUCCAAAUUGAUACUCCAAUACGUCAAUGAUAGUUUUAUGAUCAAUUGUAUCGAACGCUGAGCUUAAGUCCAAGAGUACAAGAAAACACACUUCCUGCCUGUCCAUACUCAGAAGAAUAUCGCUUUGCACCUUUAGCAGAGCCGUCUCUGUCGAAUGAUAUUUCCUGAAGCCAGAUUAAAACCUUUUAAAGCUUAAAACAUCAGGAUAUUGGUAUGCAGAAUUUGUACAGUGCUUAGAAUAUCACUCAAAGGCGAAGCAUAAAAACAAUGAAAGAAAAUUUUAAUGUCUUUAAAAUAGUUAUUAUUAAUUAAUAGUAUUAUUAUAAGAACAUUCAGUGAUUAGAAGUAUAUUACCGUUGAGCUUGCAAGUCUAUCAAGAAUAUUCUUCUCCUGGGCACUAGUCAGCUGAUAUUUCACAUUUUCAUUCGUAAAUACCACUUUGAGUGAUUGAGAAAAAAACUCCACAGGAAUGCUUGCGUAUUCUUUAUAACUAUACACAAAAUAUACAGAGUAUAAAAUCUCGAACGGUGGGUGUCGCCAGUGCAUGUAGGUAGCCCAAAAUA